CUUUUGUUCUGCUCCUCCCCUCUAAUCCUUUGUCCCUGGGUGAGAAUGCUAUCUGUAUGCAAUGCACCUGGGCAAGGAUUUGGAGAGGGCGAGCCUGCUCUGCGUGGA
This 108-nucleotide microRNA precursor is filed under the name Jaculus jaculus (lesser Egyptian jerboa). Its description in RNAcentral is "microRNA 501 (ENSJJAG00000003386.1)". The stretch from base 11 to 94 matches the Rfam family "mir-500 microRNA precursor family". The record is from RNAcentral. Lineage: Eukaryota; Metazoa; Chordata; Mammalia; Rodentia; Dipodidae.